CCAGACUCCUACGGGAGGCAGCAGUGGGGGAUAUUGGACAAUGGGGGGAACCCUGAUCCAGCGGCGCCGCGUGAGUGAAGAAGUAUUUCGGUAUGUAAAGCUCUGUCAGCAGGGAAGAAAGAAAUGACGGUACCUGACCAAGAAGCCCCGGCUAACUACGUGCCAGCAGCCGCGGUAAUACGUAGGGGGCAAGCGUUAUCCGGAAUUACUGGGUGUAAAGGGAGCGUAGACGGCAGCGCAAGUCUGAAGUGAAAUGCCGGGGCUUAACCCCGGAACUGCUUUGGAAACUGUGCAGCUAGAGUGCAGGAGAGGUAAGUGGAAUUCCUAGUGUAGCGGUGAAAUGCGUAGAUAUUAGGAGGAACACCAGUGGCGAAGGCGGCUUACUGGACUGUAACUGACGUUGAGGCUCGAAAGCGUGGGGAGCAAACAGGAUUAGAUACCCCUGUA
Molecule: ribosomal RNA, 447 nt
Filed under: uncultured bacterium
Lineage: Bacteria
Description: bacterial SSU rRNA
Rfam family: Bacterial small subunit ribosomal RNA
Source: RNAcentral